UACGUAGGGUGCAAGCGUUGUCCGGAAUUAUUGGGCGUAAAGAGCUCGUAGGCGGUUUGUCGCGUCGACUGUGAAAACCCGAGGCUUAACCUCGGGCCUGCAGUCGAUACGGGCAGACUGGAGUACUGCAGGGGAGACUGGAAUUCCUGGUGUAGCGGUGGAAUGCGCAGAUAUCAGGAGGAACACCGGUGGCGAAGGCGGGUCUCUGGGCAGUAACUGACGCUGAGGAGCGAAAGCGUGGGGAGCGAACAGG
This 253-nucleotide ribosomal RNA is filed under the name uncultured bacterium. Its description in RNAcentral is "partial 16S ribosomal RNA". It matches the Rfam family "Bacterial small subunit ribosomal RNA", at positions 524 to 776 of the family's 1533-position model. The record is from RNAcentral.